GACGUAGGGCGCGAGCGUUGUCCGGAUUUAUUGGGCGUAAAGAGCUCGUAGGCGGCUUGUCGCGUCGUCCGUGAAAACCUGCAGCUCAACUGCAGGCUUGCGGUCGAUACGGGCAGGCUAGAGUUCGGUAGGGGAGACUGGAAUUCCUGGUGUAGCAGUGAAAUGCGUAGAUAUCAGGAAGAACACCCGUGGCUAAGGCGGCUCUCUAGUACGGUACUGACGCUGAGACGCGAAAGCGUGGGGAGCGAACAGG
RNAcentral lists this ribosomal RNA (253 nucleotides) under uncultured bacterium. RNAcentral's name for it is "partial 16S ribosomal RNA". It matches the Rfam family "Bacterial small subunit ribosomal RNA", at positions 524 to 776 of the family's 1533-position model. The record is from RNAcentral.